GACGAACGCUGGCGGCGUGCUUAACACAUGCAAGUCGAACGGAAAGGCCCUGCUUUUGUGGGGUGCUCGAGUGGCGAACGGGUGAGUAACACGUGAGUAACCUGCCCUUGACUUUGGGAUAACUUCAGGAAACUGGGGCUAAUACCGGAUAGGAGCUCCUGCUGCAUGGUGGGGGUUGGAAAGUUUCGGCGGUUGGGGAUGGACUCGCGGCUUAUCAGCUUGUUGGUGGGGUAGUGGCUUACCAAGGCUUUGACGGGUAGCCGGCCUGAGAGGGUGACCGGCGACAUUGGGACUAAGAUACGGCGCAGAGUAGUACGGGAGGAAGCAGUGGGGAAUAUUGAACAAUGGGCGGAAGCCUGAUGCAGCAACGCCGCGUGCGUGAUGACGGCCUUCGGGUUGUAAACCGCUUUCGCCUGUGACGAAGCGUGAGUGACGGUAAUGGGUAAAGAAGGACCGGCUAAAUACGUG
This 468-nucleotide ribosomal RNA is filed under the name uncultured bacterium. RNAcentral's name for it is "partial 16S ribosomal RNA". It matches the Rfam family "Bacterial small subunit ribosomal RNA", at positions 28 to 507 of the family's 1533-position model. The record is from RNAcentral.